Molecule: ribosomal RNA, 704 nt
Filed under: uncultured bacterium
Lineage: Bacteria
Description: bacterial SSU rRNA
Rfam family: Bacterial small subunit ribosomal RNA
Source: RNAcentral
UUAGAUACCCUGGUAGUCCACGCCGUAAACGAUGAGUGCUAAGUGUUAGGGGGUUUCCGCCCCUUAGUGCUGCAGCUAACGCAUUAAGCACUCCGCCUGGGGAGUACGGCCGCAAGGCUGAAACUCAAAGGAAUUGACGGGGGCCCGCACAAGCGGUGGAGCAUGUGGUUUAAUUCGAAGCAACGCGAAGAACCUUACCAGGUCUUGACAUCUCCUGACCGCCCUGGAGACAGGGUCUUCCCUUCGGGGACAGGAUGACAGGUGGUGCAUGGUUGUCGUCAGCUCGUGUCGUGAGAUGUUGGGUUAAGUCCCGCAACGAGCGCAACCCUUGUCCUUAGUUGCCAGCAUUCAGUUGGGCACUCUAAGGAGACUGCCGGCUAAAAGUCGGAGGAAGGUGGGGAUGACGUCAAAUCAUCAUGCCCCUUAUGACCUGGGCUACACACGUGCUACAAUGGGCGGUACAGAGGGUCGCGAACCCGCGAGGGGGAGCCAAUCCCAAAAAACCGCUCUCAGUUCGGAUUGCAGGCUGCAACUCGCCUGCAUGAAGCCGGAAUCGCUAGUAAUCGCGGAACAGCAUGCUGCGGUGAAUACGUUCCCGGGCCUUGUACACACCGCCCGUCACACCACGAGAGUUUGCAACACCCGAAGUCGGUGAGGUAACCGCAAGGAGCCAGCCGCCGAAGGUGGGACAGAUGAUUGGGGUG